This 502-nucleotide ribosomal RNA is filed under the name uncultured bacterium. RNAcentral's name for it is "partial 16S ribosomal RNA". It matches the Rfam family "Bacterial small subunit ribosomal RNA", at positions 28 to 523 of the family's 1533-position model. The record is from RNAcentral.
GAUGAACGCUAGCGGCAGGCCUAACACAUGCAAGUCGAGGGGCAGCACGGAAACAGCAAUGUUUUGGUGGCGACCGGCGGACGGGUGCGUAACGCGUAUGCAACCUACCUUUAACAGGGGGAUAACGGAGAGAAAUUUCCACUAAUACCCCAUAACAUCGAUCAAGGCAUCUUGAUUGGUUGAAAACUCCGGUGGUUAAAGAUGGGCAUGCGUUGUAUUAGGUAGUUGGUGAGGUAAUGGCUCACCAAGCCUACGAUACAUAGGGGGACUGAGAGGUUAGCCCCCCACACUGGUACUGAGACACGGACCAGACUCCUACGGGAGGCAGCAGUGAGGAAUAUUGGUCAAUGGGGGCAAUCCUGAACCAGCCAUGCCGCGUGCAGGAAGACGGCUCUAUGAGUUGUAAACUGCUUUUAAACAGGGAUAAAGCACAGUAUGUGUACUGUGUUGAAGGUACUGUAAGAAUAAGGAUCGGCUAACUCCGUGCCAGCCGCCGCCGUAA